ACCUAGAUUCACCAUGAGUCAUCAAGGGACUCAAAGACAGACGUAUCCAGAGAAAAAGAGAAUAAAGCUGAACAUGCAGCCUCCAGCCCCAAAGAAAGAGGGAGAGAGAACAGGAGAAUAGAAUCUUAUUAGAAGCCAGAUGUAUUUCGAGCAACUGGGUUCCUUGAAAUUUCUCUGGUUCAUAAGUGCUUCACAGACAUAAUGGGCUAGUAAAUUAGGUCUUUAUUUUGGAACAAAUUGAGAGAUAUAUUUGGAAGCAUGACAGAGAUCAAGCUGUCAGCUUUAAUUGGGGAUAAAAGCUAAGUUGGAGAAGGGCAAACUGCUAAUAAUUCACCCCAGAUUUGUCAGAUUUACCUACCUAGUCACAAGCCCAGUAAUAAUCACAGCAUAGAUGCAAAGAUAGAUAAUGCAUCUCUCUGCAGUCAGGCCAAUUUCAUAGUCUCCUCCAAGAUAUUCUUAUUUAACUAGUCUACUUGUCACCUGGACAUCAGGAUUUUUGAAAACUUCUCAAGUGUUUCUAUUGUGCAGCCUGUCAUGAGAAUAUCCUCUCUAGGGAAGAAAUAGUAGAGGUAGAAGUAGCCAUCAUCAAUCCUUCAAGCCUUUUGCACUCUUACCUAUUGGAUUUGAACAUCUUACGUAAGGUCAUCUUGGGUUAUGAUUGUCCCUCUCAGUGCUUUUGGAGGUUAUAUUUGUCACUUCUUAAACUAAAGGAAAAGACCCACUUUUCAUAUAAAGUUGUAAGUAGUAAAUAUGUUCCUUUGAAACGAGAGAAAGAUGCCCUUCCCUGUGAAAAUGCUGCCCUACUUUUGCAGAGGUAGCUGUAUCACAGAGUGAAUGUGGCAACUGAUAUGGCCAUCACUGUGAAGAGAUAGGUACACACACCAGCCUCAGGACACCCCCUGCAGUCCUAACUUGGGAAUGUAAAACUCAGCUAUUUCAAGUAAACCAUUUCUGCUUCAUUCACAUAAGAA
Molecule: long non-coding RNA, 971 nt
Organism: Macaca mulatta (Rhesus monkey)
Lineage: Eukaryota; Metazoa; Chordata; Mammalia; Primates; Cercopithecidae
Source: RefSeq, a predicted model, not a curated record